Molecule: ribosomal RNA, 385 nt
Filed under: marine copepod environmental sample
Lineage: Eukaryota; Metazoa; Arthropoda; Copepoda
Description: SSU rRNA
Rfam family: Eukaryotic small subunit ribosomal RNA
Source: RNAcentral
AGCUCCAAUAGCGUAUAUUUAAUUUGUUGUGGUUAAAAAGCUCGUAGUUGGAUUUCGGCGGGUAUUGGUCGGUUUGAAUUGCUUCAAUACUGACUUUUUUACCCGUGUGUUUUGCCAGAAUUUGACGGGUGACCUUAACCGAUUGUCCGUUAGAACUGGCUGGUUUACUUUGAAAAAAUUAGAGUGCUCAAAGCAAGCUUGACUGCUUGAAUAUUCGUGCAUGGAAUAAUAGAAUAGGAAGUUGUUUCUAUUUUGUUGGUUCUCGGAAAUCGACUUAAUGAUUAAUAGGGAUAGUCGGGGGCAUUUGUAUUCAAACGACAGAGGUGAAAUUCUUGGACCGUUUGAAGACAAACUACUGCGAAAGCAUUUGCCAAGAAUGUUUUCA